UGUGUGUUAGUGGAAGCGUCUGGAAAGGCGCGCGAUACAGGGUGACAGCCCCGUACACAAAAAUGCACAUGCUGUGAGCUCGAUGAGUAGGGCGGGACACGUGGUAUCCUGUCUGAAUAUGGGGGGACCAUCCUCCAAGGCUAAAUACUCCUGACUGACCGAUAGUGAACCAGUACCGUGAGGGAAAGGCGAAAAGAACCCCGGCGAGGGGAGUGAAAAAGAACCUGAAACCGUGUACGUACAAGCAGUGGGAGCACGCUUAGGCGUGUGACUGCGUACCUUUUGUAUAAUGGGUCAGCGACUUAUAUUCUGUAGCAAGGUUAACCGAAUAGGGGAGCCGAAGGGAAACCGAGUCUUAACUGGGCGUUAAGUUGCAGGGUAUAGACCCGAAACCCGGUGAUCUAGCCAUGGGCAGGUUGAAGGUUGGGUAACACUAACUGGAGGACCGAACCGACUAAU
This 459-nucleotide ribosomal RNA is filed under the name Escherichia coli. RNAcentral describes it as "partial 23S ribosomal RNA". It matches the Rfam family "Bacterial large subunit ribosomal RNA", at positions 323 to 787 of the family's 2925-position model. Lineage: Bacteria; Pseudomonadati; Pseudomonadota; Gammaproteobacteria; Enterobacterales; Enterobacteriaceae. The record is from RNAcentral.